GUCCCUGUAGCUUAUCGACAAAGCAUGGCACUGAAGAUGCCAAGACGGCCCCACACACCCAAGGACA
RNAcentral lists this transfer RNA (67 nucleotides) under Otus bakkamoena (Indian scops owl). Its description in RNAcentral is "tRNA-Phe". It matches the Rfam family "tRNA". Rfam says of the family: Transfer RNA (tRNA) molecules are approximately 80 nucleotides in length. Their secondary structure includes four short double-helical elements and three loops (D, anti-codon, and T loops). Further hydrogen bonds mediate the characteristic L-shaped molecular structure. tRNAs have two regions of fundamental functional importance: the anti-codon, which is responsible for specific mRNA codon recognition, and the 3' end, to which the tRNAs corresponding amino acid is attached (by aminoacyl-tRNA synthetases). tRNAs cope with the degeneracy of the genetic code in two manners: having more than one tRNA (with a specific anti-codon) for a particular amino acid; and 'wobble' base-pairing, i.e. permitting non-standard base-pairing at the 3rd anti-codon position. Lineage: Eukaryota; Metazoa; Chordata; Aves; Strigiformes; Strigidae. The record is from RNAcentral. RNAcentral also lists the same sequence under 1 other name.